This 406-nucleotide ribosomal RNA is filed under the name uncultured bacterium. Its description in RNAcentral is "bacterial SSU rRNA". It matches the Rfam family "Bacterial small subunit ribosomal RNA", at positions 28 to 430 of the family's 1533-position model. The record is from RNAcentral.
GAUGAACGCUGGCGGCGUGCUUAACACAUGCAAGUCGAACGAGGUCCAUGGAGCUUGCUCCGGAAGACCUAGUGGCGAACGGGUGCGUAACACGUGAGAAACCUGCCCCGAUCUCUGGGAUAACAGUUGGAAACGACUGCUAAUACCGGAUGCCGUCCCACCGCUUCAUGGCGGAGUGACGAAAGAUUUAUCGGAUCGGGAGGGUCUCGCGGCCUAUCAGCUAGUUGGAGAGGUAACGGCUCACCAAGGCAUCGACGGGUAGCUGGUCUGAGAGGAUGAUCAGCCACACUGGGACUGAGACACGGCCCAGACUCCUACGGGAGGCAGCAGUGGGGAAUCUUGCACAAUGGGCGAAAGCCUGAUGCAGCAACGCCGCGUGCGGGAAGAAGGCCCUAGGGUUGUAAAC